Molecule: ribosomal RNA, 494 nt
Filed under: uncultured bacterium
Lineage: Bacteria
Description: bacterial SSU rRNA
Rfam family: Bacterial small subunit ribosomal RNA
Source: RNAcentral
AAAUGAAUAGACGGGGGCCCGCACAAGCGGAGGAACAUGUGGUUUAAUUCGAUGAUACGCGAGGAACCUUACCCGGGCUUGAAAUGCAGAUGACAGGCGGCGAGAACCGUUUUUCCUUCGGGACAUCUGUGUAGGUGCUGCAUGGUUGUCGUCAGCUCGUGCCGUGAGGUGUCGGCUUAAGUGCCAUAACGAGCGCAACCCUCAUCGUUAGUUGCCAUCAGGUCAAGCUGGGGACUCUAACGGGACUGCCAUCGUAAGAUGUGAGGAAGGUGGGGAUGACGUCAAAUCAGCACGGCCCUUACGUCCGGGGCGACACACGUGUUACAAUGGGUGGUACAAAGGGCAGCUACCGGGCGACCGGAUGCCAAUCUCUAAAACCACUCUCAGUUCGGAUCGGAGUCUGCAACUCGACUCCGUGAAGCUGGAUUCGCUAGUAAUCGCGCAUCAGCCACGGCGCGGUGAAUACGUUCCCGGGCCUUGUACACACCGCCCGU